UCUGGUGACGAUAGCGAAGAGGUCACACCCGUUCCCAUACCGAACACGGAAGUUAAGCUCUUUAGCGCCAAUGGUAGUUGGGACUUUGUCCCUGUGAGAGUAGGACGUUGCCAGGC
Molecule: ribosomal RNA, 116 nt
Filed under: Priestia megaterium
Lineage: Bacteria; Bacillati; Bacillota; Bacilli; Caryophanales; Bacillaceae
Also listed under: 3 other names
Source: RNAcentral